RNAcentral lists this ribosomal RNA (490 nucleotides) under uncultured bacterium. RNAcentral's name for it is "partial 16S ribosomal RNA". It matches the Rfam family "Bacterial small subunit ribosomal RNA", at positions 30 to 507 of the family's 1533-position model. The record is from RNAcentral.
AUUGAACGCUGGCGGCAGGCCUAACACAUGCAAGUCGAACGGUAACAGGAAACAGCUUGCUGUUUCGCUGACGAGUGGCGGACGGGUGAGUAAUGUCUGGGAAACUGCCUGAUGGAGGGGGAUAACUACUGGAAGCGGUAGCUAAUACCGCAUAACGUCGCAAGACCAAAGAGGGGGACCUUCGGGCCUCUUGCCAUCGGAUGUGCCCAGAUGGGAUUAGCUUGUUGGUGGGGUAACGGCUCACCAAGGCGACGAUCCCUAGCUGGUCUGAGAGGAUGACCAGCCACACUGGAACUGAGACACGGUCCAGACUCCUACGGGAGGCAGCAGUGGGGAAUAUUGCACAAUGGGCGCAAGCCUGAUGCAGCCAUGCCGCGUGUAUGAAGAAGGCCUUCGGGUUGUAAAGUACUUUCAGCGGGGAGGAAGGGAGUAAAGUUAAUACCUUUGCUCAUUGACGUUACCCGCAGAAGAAGCACCGGCUAACUCCGUG